RNAcentral lists this ribosomal RNA (583 nucleotides) under uncultured bacterium. RNAcentral describes it as "bacterial SSU rRNA". It matches the Rfam family "Bacterial small subunit ribosomal RNA", at positions 343 to 917 of the family's 1533-position model. The record is from RNAcentral.
GGGAGGCAGCAGUAGGGAAUCUUCCGCAAUGGGCGAAAGCCUGACGGAGCAACGCCGCGUGAGUGAUGAAGGUCUUCGGAUCGUAAAACUCUGUUAUUAGGGAAGAACAUAUGUGUAAGUAACUGUGCACAUCUUGACGGUACCUAAUCAGAAAGCCACGGCUAACUACGUGCCAGCAGCCGCGGUAAUACGUAGGUGGCAAGCGUUAUCCGGAAUUAUUGGGCGUAAAGUGCGCGUAGGCGGUUUUUUAAGUCUGAUGUGAAAGCCCACGGCUCAACCGUGGAGGGUCAUUGGAAACUGGAAAACUUGAGUGCAGAAGAGGAAAGUGGAAUUCCAUGUGUAGCGGUGAAAUGCGCAGAGAUAUGGAGGAACACCAGUGGCGAAGGCGACUUUCUGGUCUGUAACUGACGCUGAUGUGCGAAAGCGUGGGGAUCAAACAGGAUUAGAUACCCUGGUAGUCCACGCCGUAAACGAUGAGUGCUAAGUGUUAGGGGGUUUCCGCCCCUUAGUGCUGCAGCUAACGCAUUAAGCACUCCGCCUGGGGAGUACGACCGCAAGGUUGAAACUCAAAGGAAUUGACGGC